GAUAUUAUUUUGAUGUCGUGGUUCCACGAAUUUGGAGCUUCGUAUUAAAAUUAUUCCAAAAGUAUAAAAGCUUAUUUUUUUUAUUAAAAUAUGGAUGAAAAUAUAAAUUCAAUUUCAAAGGUACCUAUUCGAGUUCGUUAUUCGGAUGAGUGAAUAUUCAACACUCAUCAAGAACAAGAAUCCGACGAACGAUGAAAAUUUCACACCUAUACUCAUCUCAUCAUAUUAGUCAUCAGUUCAUCACAAACACCAGUUAAUCCAAAAUCAUUCAAUAUCUGCCAACUAGUCCAUUCCAAUAAAUAAUUCGAAGACCUUGCAAGCUCAACAUCGAUCAGAAAAAAGUUGCUGAAACUUUUACGUGGGGUUAAAAGACCUUCGAAAGAACUUACAAGAACCAUAAGGUGAAUACACGUUGCUCCUCGGAAAUCAACUCGUAGACAACUAAACAAACAUAUUUAUCGAGGUCCCUUUCAAGUACAGCAAAAUGGAUGGAGAACGUUUUUUUGGAGAAAAUUUUGGAAAAAAAUUGAAGAUCUCUGUUUCAAAGACCACGUACAGGAUUUCUAAACUCAAUUAUCUGGUACUUGAGGUUCCUUUUUUUCAAUUUCAGUUGUGGUCUUUCCAGUGACAAUUUCCAUGAUCUAAAGUGGUUCUUCAUGCGACGAAUUUGAAACAUUACAUGCUAUGAAGCCAAUUUACUCUCAACCAUUUAGAAUCCUGAAAUUUUGCCUGAAUAUCAUACUAACGCAACCCUUCUUGUUCAGAGCGCACAAAUUAUCCACAAAUCCGCCAAUAAACAAUAAUACAUAUAAUUAUGUAGGUAUAGGAAAGCGAUGUACGUCAGCAAUACCAAAAUCACUAUCAAAAGCAUCGGCACCGUAAUCGACCUGGUCGAGUCAUCCUGAAGAACUUCCGUAUUUGUAUUAUUAUUACCGCUGUCAGUAGCUCUAUUUUGAGAA
Long non-coding RNA from Planococcus citri (citrus mealybug), 959 nucleotides. RefSeq lists it as uncharacterized. The transcript has 7 exons. Lineage: Eukaryota; Metazoa; Arthropoda; Insecta; Hemiptera; Pseudococcidae. The record is from RefSeq and is a predicted model, not a curated record.